UUCAUACUCCUCCAACCCAGCACAUUUAUGAAAUCAUGUAGUGGUUAACCAAGACGUGUUUUUAAAGAAGAUGACUGAUGUUUAGAGUAUACUAUAAACUGAACUAGCUCUGAGAAUAUUUUCCCAAUGAAAGGUUUACUAGUUCCACUGGUGUUGCUGCUCUGUCAGUUAGGAGCACCUGAGAGCUUUCUAAGUGAAGACGCAUCCUCGGGCAAAAAGACAGCACUCCAACCUGACAUCUGGUCUGAGCUGAGAGAUCUGAGAGACAUGGUGGUGCUGCAGAGAGCAGAGCUGAGCCGCACCAUGGCUGAACUACGAGAUACUAAGAACCAGAUGGAGGGGCUAAAAACAGAGAUCUCAGUCAUGGAGUCCAGGCUGAUGAGUUCUGAAGGACAACUUGAGGCAAUGAAGACAGACAUGCAGCCAUAGUGAGCAGAGUAACAUCCGCUGAGAGUGAGGUUGAGAGACUACAGAAGGAGAAUGCAGGUAAAACAGAUAUGGAAUUAUGGUACUUUGUAAUAAUAUGUAAUGUGACUGAUUACUUUCUUCCCUUCCAUUUGUGAGUGUGAAAAAGUGAAUAAUCUACAUAUAUAUAUCGUUGUAUUCACCUCCAUUGAUAGAGAGACCUAAGGUCGCAUUUUCAACCUCUUUUGGAAAAACUGGACAGCAUGGGCCAUUCCACACUGCCACCACCGUGGUCUUCCAGAAUAUAUUCUCAAACACUGGCAACCACUACAACCAAGCUACAGGUGUCUUCACAGCACCGGUGAGAGGGGCCUACUACUUCGGCUUCACUAUUGGUGCAUAUCUCCAUUCCACUGUUAUGGGCCUAACACUGUUCAAGAAUGAACAACAGAUAAUUCAUACAGGGGAGUGGGGUAACCAUGGGCAGUUUAGGUAUGCAUCCAAUACCGUCAUACUACAGCUGGAGGAGGGAGAUGUCGUUUUUAUGCAACUCCCUGCAAACUACAG
Molecule: long non-coding RNA, 972 nt
Filed under: Salmo salar (Atlantic salmon)
Lineage: Eukaryota; Metazoa; Chordata; Actinopteri; Salmoniformes; Salmonidae
Description: lncRNA (ENSSSAG00000090642.1, ENSSSAG00000115271.1)
Source: RNAcentral